AUACAUGCAGUAGAACGCUGAAGAGAGGAGCUUGCUCUUCUUGGAUGAGUUGCGAACGGGUGAGUAACGCGUAGGUAACCUGCCUUGUAGCGGGGGAUAACUAUUGGAAACGAUAGCUAAUACCGCAUAACAAUGGAUGACACAUGUCAUUUAUUUGAAAGGGGCAAUUGCUCCACUACAAGAUGGACCUGCGUUGUAUUAGCUAGUAGGUGAGGUAAUGGCUCACCUAGGCGACGAUACAUAGCCGACCUGAGAGGGUGAUCGGCCACACUGGGACUGAGACACGGCCCAGACUCCUACGGGAGGCAGCAGUAGGGAAUCUUCGGCAAUGGGGGCAACCCUGACCGAGCAACGCCGCGUGAGUGAAGAAGGUUUUCGGAUCGUAAAGCUCUGUUGUAAGUCAAGAACGGGUGUGAGAGUGGAAAGUUCACACUGUGACGGUAGCUUACCAGAAAGGGACGGCUAACUACGUGCCAGCAGCCGCGGUAAUACGUAGGUCCCGAGCGUUGUCCGGAUUUAUUGGGCGUAAAGCGAGCGCAGGCGGUUUGAUAAGUCUGAAGUUAAAGGCUGUGGCUCAACCAUAGUUCGCUUUGGAAACUGUCAAACUUGAGUGCAGAAGGGGAGAGUGGAAUUCCAUGUGUAGCGGUGAAAUGCGUAGAUAUAUGGAGGAACACCGGUGGCGAAAGCGGCUCUCUGGUCUGUAACUGACGCUGAGGCUCGAAAGCGUGGGGAGCGAACAGGAUUAGAUACCCUGGUAGUCCACGCCGUAAACGAUGAGUGCUAGGUGUUGGAUCCUUUCCGGGAUUCAGUGCCGNAGCUAACGCAUUAAGCACUCCGCCUGGGGAGUACGACCGCAAGGUUGAAACUCAAAGGAAUUGACGGGGGCCCGCACAAGCGGUGGAGCAUGUGGUUUAAUUCGAAGCAACGCGAAGAACCUUACCAGGUCUUGACAUCCCGAUGCUAUUUCUAGAGAUAGAAAGUUACUUCGGUACAUCGGUGACGGUGCAUGGUUGUCGUCAGCUCGUGUCGUGAGAUGUUGGGUUAAGUCCCGCAACGAGCGCAACCCCUAUUGUUAGUUGCCAUCAUUCAGUUGGGCACUCUAGCGAGACUGCCGGUAAUAAACCGGAGGAAGGUGGGGAUGACGUCAAAUCAUCAUGCCCCUUAUGACCUGGGCUACACACGUGCUACAAUGGUUGGUACAACGAGUUGCGAGUCGGUGACGGCGAGCUAAUCUCUUAAAGCCAAUCUCAGUUCGGAUUGUAGGCUGCAACUCGCCUACAUGAAGUCGGAAUCGCUAGUAAUCGCGGAUCAGCACGCCGCGGUGAAUACGUUCCCGGGCCUUGUACACACCGCCCGUCACACCACGAGAGUUUGUAACACCCGAAGUCGGUGAGGUAACCUUUUGGAGCCAGCCGCCUAAG
This 1421-nucleotide ribosomal RNA is filed under the name Streptococcus thermophilus. RNAcentral's name for it is "16S ribosomal RNA". It matches the Rfam family "Bacterial small subunit ribosomal RNA". Lineage: Bacteria; Bacillati; Bacillota; Bacilli; Lactobacillales; Streptococcaceae. The record is from RNAcentral.